UACGUAGGGUGCGAGCGUUGUCCGGAAUUAUUGGGCGUAAAGGGCUCGUAGGCGGUCUAUCGCGUCGGGAGUGAAAACUCGGGGCUUAACUCCGAGCCUGCUUCUGAUACGGGCAGACUAGAGGUAUGCAGGGGAGAAUGGAAUUCCUGGUGUAGCGGUGAAAUGCGCAGAUAUCAGGAGGAACACCGGUGGCGAAGGCGGUUCUCUGGGCAUGACCUGACGCUGAGGAGCGAAAGUGUGGGGAGCGAACAGG
RNAcentral lists this ribosomal RNA (253 nucleotides) under uncultured bacterium. Its description in RNAcentral is "partial 16S ribosomal RNA". It matches the Rfam family "Bacterial small subunit ribosomal RNA", at positions 524 to 776 of the family's 1533-position model. The record is from RNAcentral.